UGCCAAGUGAUCUACNGAAUUUUCAGAG
Molecule: non-coding RNA, 28 nt
Filed under: Mus musculus (house mouse)
Lineage: Eukaryota; Metazoa; Chordata; Mammalia; Rodentia; Muridae
Source: RNAcentral